CCAGGAAUACAGGGUCUCAAAUACCUGAACUAACAACACACCUUUUCAGGUUAGUACUUAAUUUAGCACUCUCAGAAUUCUUACUAACUUCUAAAUUUGUCUCACACACCCUUAAUCCGGAACCCUUAUAAUAUUUCUAGGAAUCUACUUCGUCCACCCCAUUGAAAUAAAUUCUCUUCAUCCACACAAACUGCAUAAAAACUUACAAAAAUUUAAAAAGUUCAUCACUUAACGUUUUUCCCUUCCUCAAAUAUCAACAUUUCCAUUUAGCACACUUUUUAGCCCUUGGAAUUAUAUGCUCCAAUCUAUUCAUUAUACUUACCGGCCUCAAGAAAUAUUAAAGAAAUGGCAAGUUUUAUAAACAAUCUCAUCCUGAUUUUUAUCAGAUUUGUUAACUUGUAUGUUGGAUCGGUUCUAAUUAUAGAAGAUUCCAUAGUUUGGGCUCAUUCUAUGAGAAACUACGUAAACUCGAAUAAAAUUAAUCACCACGAAGACAGAGUGCAAUUUCUGCUAAAAUUUGCACCCUGCGUAUUCACCCUUAUCGCCCUGUGGAUCGUCCUCGCCUUAUCGGUACUACAUUCAACAUUGACCUACCUCGCGUGUGGGGCAAGAUGGGGGAUCCGGUUUGCAAAAGUGGCAAAAUUUUUUGCGACCGUGUCCUACUGCCAAAUUAUCUUGAUUCUUUUGUACAAUUUGAGUCUGGAAAGUCUGCGAUGCGAAGAUUCUUAUCUCAGUAAAUUAGGAAAUAUCGAGUUGUCAGCGGGUACAUAUUUAUUUAUUGGCGUUAUCCAAUACAAUUUUGCUUUUGUGCAUGCAAAUUUCAUUGCGAGGCUGGAAAGCGAAUUAAGAAAGGCAGAGGAAGAAGAGCAGGUGAAAAAAGUUGAGAAGAUAUCUUUGCGCGAGAAAUGUAAAGAUGUUGAUUUAGAACAGGUCGUCACAGAGAAAUAAGUUGAUUCGUAAGAAAUCAAUUCAAUUAAAAUUUUGUAUAGGCAUAGCAAAUUUGACUGUAAAUUACAGUCUGCAACACGUAUUAUUUUUUUGCAUACUUGAAAAAGUUAUACAUAGUUCAGGGAAACUUUAAGCUUUUAAAUGGAUAACGUUUCUAAAUUUUAUGACAUUGUUUUUAGCUGUAAUUUGUUUACAAAUUGGUUAUUAGUAGACAUUGAAUUGUGCAAGUUUGCUAUUUGAGAUUUACUAACGUAUGUACAUAUAUAAACACACUUUAUUAAUUUUGAAACUCAAUUAAUAAUUUAAAAUUCACGAAAUAAAUGCUGCUAUCUUAACUACCAU
Long non-coding RNA from Folsomia candida, 1290 nucleotides. RefSeq lists it as uncharacterized. The transcript has 2 exons. The record is from RefSeq and is a predicted model, not a curated record. NCBI's taxonomy places the organism in Eukaryota, Metazoa, Arthropoda, Collembola, Entomobryomorpha, Isotomidae.